Pelobates cultripes (western spadefoot toad) is the source of this 224-nucleotide non-coding RNA. The record is from the annotation of a GenBank genome assembly. Lineage: Eukaryota; Metazoa; Chordata; Amphibia; Anura; Pelobatidae.
CAGACGAAUCGUGAGCUACGUGUGGGGCUAACUUAGGUGGGAGAGUGAAUGGUAAAAGGUAGUAUGAACUUUUUUAAAGAUACAUUUAUUUACGGCGAUGAAACAAAAUAGAAAGAAAAAUUGCAGAGUGAUAAAAUUCUAUACAAGCCAUAUAUUCGAUAAGUAAAAAGGUCAAUAAGUAAUAAGUUUAAACAAUGACCCAGAGUAAAUCAGCAGUAAGAAUC